AUCAACUUUCGAUGGUAGGAUAGAGGCCUACCAUGGUGGUAACGGGUAACGGGGUGUUAGGGCACGACACCGGAGAGGGAGCCUGAGAAACGGCUACCACAUCCAAGGAUGGCAGCAGGCGCGCAAAUUACCCAAUCCCGACACGGGGAGGUAGUGACAAUAAAUAACAAUACGGGGUCCUUUCGGGUUUCGUAAUUGGAAUGAGUACAAUUUAAAUCUCUUAACGAGGAACAAUUGGAGGGCAAGUCUGGUGCCAGCAGCCGUGGUAAUUCCAGCUCCAAUAGCGUAUAUUAAAGUUGUUGCAGUUAAAAAGCUCGUAGUUGAAUUUCGGGAUUAGUGCGCCGGUCGUGCCUUCGGUAUGUACUGGUGUUACUGGUUCCUACCUUCUGACGAACCGUCAUGUCAUUAAUUUGGUGUGGCGGGAAAUCAGGACUGUUACUUUGAAAAAAUUAGAGUGUUUAAAGCAGGCUCGCGCUUGAAUACAUUAGCAUGGAAUAAUGAAAUAGGACGUUCGAUCCUAUUUUGUUGGUUUCUAGGAUUGACGUAAUGAUUAAUAGGGAUAGUUAGGGGCAUUAGUAUUCAAUUGUCAGAGGUGAAAUUCUUGGAUUUAUUGAAGACUAACUACUGCGAAAGCAUUUGCCAAGGAUGUUUUCAUUAAUCAAGAACGAAAGUUAGGGGAUCGAAGACGAUCAGAUACCGUCGUAGUCUUAACCAUAAACUAUGCCGACUAGGGAUCGGAUGAUGUUAUUUUUAAUGACUCAUUCGGCGCCUUACGGGAAACCAAAGUGUUUGGGUUC
RNAcentral lists this ribosomal RNA (797 nucleotides) under uncultured Glomus. RNAcentral's name for it is "SSU rRNA". It matches the Rfam family "Eukaryotic small subunit ribosomal RNA", at positions 314 to 1114 of the family's 1831-position model. Lineage: Eukaryota; Fungi; Glomeromycota; Glomeromycetes; Glomerales; Glomeraceae. The record is from RNAcentral.